Molecule: transfer RNA, 75 nt
Filed under: Candidatus Woesearchaeota archaeon
Lineage: Archaea; Nanobdellati; Candidatus Woesearchaeota
Description: tRNA-Arg
Rfam family: tRNA
About the family: Transfer RNA (tRNA) molecules are approximately 80 nucleotides in length. Their secondary structure includes four short double-helical elements and three loops (D, anti-codon, and T loops). Further hydrogen bonds mediate the characteristic L-shaped molecular structure. tRNAs have two regions of fundamental functional importance: the anti-codon, which is responsible for specific mRNA codon recognition, and the 3' end, to which the tRNAs corresponding amino acid is attached (by aminoacyl-tRNA synthetases). tRNAs cope with the degeneracy of the genetic code in two manners: having more than one tRNA (with a specific anti-codon) for a particular amino acid; and 'wobble' base-pairing, i.e. permitting non-standard base-pairing at the 3rd anti-codon position.
Source: RNAcentral
GCGGUCGUAGCUCAGCUUGGAUAGAGCACCAGCCUUCUAAGCUGGGGGUCGUGGGUUCAAAUCCCAUCGACCGCG